CCUUCCUGCGGCGCCUUAGGGACCAUGGCCGAUCCUCGCGUGAGGCAGAUCAAGAUCAAGACCGGAGUAGUGAGGCGAUUGGUCAAAGAAAGAGUGAUGUACGAAAAAGAAGCAAAGCAGCAAGAAGAAAAGAUUGAAAAAAUGAAGGCUGAAGAUGGAGAGAACUACGCCACUAAGAAGCAGGCAGAGAUCCUGCAAGAGUCCCGGAUGAUGAUCCCAGAUUGCCAGCGUCGGUUAGAGGCUGCAUAUACUGAUCUUCAGCAGAUAUUAGAAAGUGAAAAAGACUUGGAAGAAGCCGAGGAGUAUAAAGAAGCCCGUGUAGUGCUGGAUUCCGUAAAGCUAGAAGCCUGACAUUUUUCUGUA
This is a non-coding RNA of Mus caroli (Ryukyu mouse), 363 nucleotides long. The record is from RefSeq and is a predicted model, not a curated record. NCBI's taxonomy places the organism in Eukaryota, Metazoa, Chordata, Mammalia, Rodentia, Muridae.